CUGUGGGUUGUAAACCUCUUUUCUCAAGGAAGAAGUUCUGACGGUACUUGAGGAAUAAGCAUCGGCUAACUCUGUGCCAGCAGCCGCGGUAAUACAGAGGAUGCAAGCGUUAUCCGGAAUCACUGGGCAUAAAGCGUCUGUAGGUUGCUUAUCAAGUCUGCUGUUAAAGACCAGGGCCUAACCCUGGGAAAGCAGUGGAAACUAGUAGGCUUGAGUGUGGUAGAGGUAGAGGGAAUUCCUGGUGUAGCGGUGAAAUGCGUAGAUAUUAGGAAGAACACCAAUGGCGAAAGCACUCUACUGGGCCAUAACUGACACUGAGAGACGACAGCUAGGGGAGC
Molecule: ribosomal RNA, 338 nt
Filed under: uncultured eukaryote
Lineage: Eukaryota
Description: bacterial SSU rRNA
Rfam family: Bacterial small subunit ribosomal RNA
Source: RNAcentral